GAUGAAGAACGCAGCGAAAUGCGAUAAGUAAUGUGAAUUGCAGAGUUCAGUGAAUCAUCGAAUCUUUGAACGCACAUUGCGCCCGUCAGUAUUCUGACGGGCAUGCCUGUCCGAGCGUCAUUUCAACCCUCAGGCCCCCGGGCCUGGCGUUGGGGAUCGGCGGAGCCCCCCGUGGGCACACGCCGUCCCCCAAAUACAGUGGCGGUCCCGCCGCAGCUUCCAUCGCGUAGUAGCUAACACCUCGCGACUGGAGAGCGGCGCGGCCACGCCGUAAAACACCCAACUCUUCUGAAGUUGACCUCGAAUCAGGUAGGAAUACCCGCUGAACUUAAGCAUAUCAAUAAGCGGAGGA
This 352-nucleotide unclassified non-coding RNA is filed under the name soil metagenome. RNAcentral's name for it is "partial contains 5.8S ribosomal RNA, internal transcribed spacer 2, and large subunit ribosomal RNA". The stretch from base 1 to 120 matches the Rfam family "5.8S ribosomal RNA", at positions 35 to 154 of the family's 154-position model. The record is from RNAcentral.